UGUACCUCAAUGCGGCUGGGAAUAAUAAGGCAGAGACUGGUUUGAGGUUUUUCAUGGAGAGUGUGCAGAAACAUGGAUGGCCAUCAAGAGUACGCGGUGACCAAGGCGUAGAAAAUGUGGAGAUAGCAAGAUCCAUGUUCACUGUGCGAGGAACAGGUCGUGGCAGCUUUAUAGCUGGGAAAAGUGUGCACAACCAAAGAGUGGAAUGACUAUGGAGAGAUGUGUGAAACGCUGUAACAUCUCAGUACUACAACAUGCUUCACACCUUGGAGGAAGAGGGGUUUGUAGACCUCUCAAAUGUUGUUCACCUCUUCUGUCUUGGGUACGUUUUCAU
Molecule: long non-coding RNA, 334 nt
Organism: Perca flavescens (yellow perch)
Lineage: Eukaryota; Metazoa; Chordata; Actinopteri; Perciformes; Percidae
Exons: 3
Source: RefSeq, a predicted model, not a curated record